RNAcentral lists this ribosomal RNA (440 nucleotides) under uncultured bacterium. RNAcentral describes it as "partial 16S ribosomal RNA". It matches the Rfam family "Bacterial small subunit ribosomal RNA", at positions 338 to 795 of the family's 1533-position model. The record is from RNAcentral.
CCUACGGGAGGCAGCAGUGGGGAAUAUUGCACAAUGGAGGAGACCCUGAUGCAGCGACGCCGCGUGAGGGAAGACGUAAUUCGUUAUGUAAAGCUCUAUCAGCAAAGGAGUAAAUGACGGUACCUGAGUCAGAAGCCCCGGCUAACUACGUGCCAGCAGCCGCGGUAAUACGGAGGGGGCAAGCGUUAUCCGGAUUUACUGGGUGUAAAGGGAGCGUAGACGGCAGGGCAAGUCUGGAGUGAAAGGCGGCGGCUCAACCCCCGAACUGCUCUGGAAACUGUACGGCUGGAGUGCAGGAGAGGUAAGUGGAAUUCCUGGUGUAGCGGUGAAAUGCGUAGAUAUUAGGAGGAACACCAGUGGCGAAGGCGGCUUACUGGACUGUAACUGACGUUGAGGCUCGAAAGCGUGGGGAGCAAACAGGAUUAGAUACCCUUGUAGUC